AGGAUGAAUGCUGGCGGCGCGCCUAACACAUGCAAGUCGAGCGGUAAGGCCCUUAGGGGUACACGAGCGGCGGACGGCUGAGUAACGCGUGGGAACAUGCCCCAAAGUGAGGAAUAACUGCCCGAAAAGGGUAGCUAAUGCCGCAUAUGAUCUUAGGAUUAAAGGAUUUAUCCGCUUUGGGAGUGGCCUGCGUACGAUUAGAUAGUUGGUGAGGUAAAGGCUCACCAAGUCUACGAUCGUUAACUGUUCUGAGAGGAUGAUCAGUCAGACUGGAACUGAGACACGGUCCAGACUCCUACGGGAGGCAGCAGUGAGGAAUCUUCCACAUGGGCGAAA
This 336-nucleotide ribosomal RNA is filed under the name uncultured bacterium. RNAcentral's name for it is "SSU rRNA". It matches the Rfam family "Bacterial small subunit ribosomal RNA", at positions 26 to 380 of the family's 1533-position model. The record is from RNAcentral.